RNAcentral lists this ribosomal RNA (497 nucleotides) under uncultured bacterium. RNAcentral describes it as "partial 16S ribosomal RNA". It matches the Rfam family "Bacterial small subunit ribosomal RNA", at positions 28 to 507 of the family's 1533-position model. The record is from RNAcentral.
GAUGAACGCUGGCGGCGUGCCUAAUACAUGCAAGUCGAGCGAACAGACGAGGAGCUUGCUCCUCUGACGUUAGCGGCGGACGGGUGAGUAACACGUGGAUAACCUACCUAUAAGACUGGGAUAACUUCGGGAAACCGGAGCUAAUACCGGAUAAUAUAUUGAACCGCAUGGUUCAAUAGUGAGAGACGGUUUUGCUGUCACUUAUAGAUGGAUCCGCGCCGCAUUAGCUAGUUGGUAAGGUAACGGCUUACCAAGGCAACGAUGCGUAGCCGACCUGAGAGGGUGAUCGGCCACACUGGAACUGAGACCCGGUCCAGACUCCUACGGGAGGCAGCAGUAGGGAAUCUUCCGCAAUGGGCGAAAGCCUGACGGAGCAACGCCGCGUGAGUGAUGAAGGUCUUCGGAUCGUAAAACUCUGUUAUUAGGGAAGAACAAAUGUGUAAGUAACUAUGCACGUCUUGACGGUACCUAAUCAGAAAGCCACGGCUAACUACGUG